GACGAACGCUGGCGGCGUGCUUAACACAUGCAAGUCGAACGGAAAGGCCCUGCUUUUGUGGGGUGCUCGAGUGGCGAACGGGUGAGUAACACGUGAGUAACCUGCCCUUGACUUUGGGAUAACUUCAUGAAACUGGGGCUAAUACCGGAUAGGAGCUCCUGCUGCAUGGUGGGGGUUGGAAAGUUUCGGCGGUUGGGGAUGGACUCGCGGCUUAUCAGCUUGUUGGUGGGGUAGUGGCUUACCAAGGCUUUGACGGGUAGCCGGCCUGAGAGGGUGACCGGCCACAUUGGGACUGAGAUGCGGCCCAGACUCCUACGGGAGGCAGAAGUGGGGAAUAUUGCACAAUGGGCGGAAGCAUGAUGCAGCAACGCCGCGUGCGGGAUGACGGCCUUCGGGUUGUAAACCGCUUUCGCCUGUGACGAAGCGUGAGUGACGGUAAUGGGUAAAGAAGCACCGGCUAACUACGUG
This 468-nucleotide ribosomal RNA is filed under the name uncultured bacterium. Its description in RNAcentral is "partial 16S ribosomal RNA". It matches the Rfam family "Bacterial small subunit ribosomal RNA", at positions 28 to 507 of the family's 1533-position model. The record is from RNAcentral.